RNAcentral lists this small nucleolar RNA (133 nucleotides) under Dasypus novemcinctus (nine-banded armadillo). RNAcentral describes it as "Small nucleolar RNA SNORA71 (ENSDNOG00000044558.1)". It matches the Rfam family "Small nucleolar RNA SNORA71". From Rfam's summary of the family: The members of this family belong to the H/ACA class of snoRNAs which bind a number of proteins (including dyskerin, Gar1p and Nop10p) to form snoRNP complexes. This class of snoRNAs are thought to guide the sites of modification of uridines to pseudouridines by forming direct base pairing interactions with substrate RNAs. The record is from RNAcentral. Lineage: Eukaryota; Metazoa; Chordata; Mammalia; Cingulata; Dasypodidae.
ACCUGCAUUCGAAAGUGAUCAUGGGCUGCUUGUGUCCUGGUCAUUGAUAGUGCAGGGAGAGGAACUGCUGAAAGCAUUUCCCCGUGUUUGGUGGGUCCAUUCUUACCCUUCCAAACCCUGAAGCUUUCACACA